Molecule: long non-coding RNA, 504 nt
Filed under: Stegodyphus dumicola
Lineage: Eukaryota; Metazoa; Arthropoda; Arachnida; Araneae; Eresidae
Description: uncharacterized LOC118188837, transcript variant X2
Source: RNAcentral
CUUAUUUUCAAACGGUUUGACAGAUUUGUGCCAUUACUUUAAUCCUCAUAUUUGCAGUUUGUGCCAACGCCGAUUACAUUGUCAACGGCAUCGGGGGAGAUGAAAUCGCAGGGUAUAUCUUCUCCCCCGUGACGGGACUAUCAAAAGUGCACCUCUUCCGAAAAUUUCAUCAGAAAGCACUUGUUCAUCAUCCUUUCAUUAUUCCUCCAGCGUAUCGUAAACUUCCUCCAAUAGGCGAGAAUUAUUUUGAAAUUGAUGAUGACGAAGAUGAUGGAAUUUAUUGACCAUGUGCUGCCAUCUACUGAAACGUAAAAGAACUAAAGAACUUCGCGAAUGCCGCCUUUGACAGUUCAUUUGCAAAGUUAGAUAAUUUUUAAAAUGAACGGAAUGAAAUGAGGCUAAAAUGAAACUGAACUCUCUGUGUAAUUAAGUUAUUGUUUAAAUCUAUUUAUUAUGUAUUUGUUAUUUAUUUAAAUGUAUCAAUAAAAUGUAGCCAAAUUAAAA